UCGACCCUCGGCUCAGUGAAGGAGAGGAAAAACAAAAAUAAAAACAAGAACAAAAACAAAAGAGCAUUAGUAAGUCCAGAAGAAAUAGCAUAAAUAAUUAUCUAAAUAUAAGAACCAUAAAUAAAUAAAAUAGCACGCAAUAAUAUCAGACGAUAACUACCAUAAAUAACUAACAUAAAGGAGACACAAUCCAAUACACAAAUCAUCUAAGUACUAAGUA
Molecule: long non-coding RNA, 220 nt
Filed under: Nicotiana benthamiana
Lineage: Eukaryota; Viridiplantae; Streptophyta; Magnoliopsida; Solanales; Solanaceae
Description: long non-coding RNA (NBEN_LNC037897)
Source: RNAcentral